Molecule: ribosomal RNA, 504 nt
Filed under: uncultured bacterium
Lineage: Bacteria
Description: partial 16S ribosomal RNA
Rfam family: Bacterial small subunit ribosomal RNA
Source: RNAcentral
GACGAACGCUGGCGGCGUGCCUAAUACAUGCAAGUAGAACGCACAGUUUAUACCGUAGCUUGCUACACCAUAAACUGUGAGUUGCGAACGGGUGAGUAACGCGUAGGUAACCUGCCUGGUAGCGGGGGAUAACUAUUGGAAACGAUAGCUAAUACCGCAUAAUAUUGAUUAUUGCAUGAUAAUUGAUUGAAAGAUGCUAUUGCAUCACUACCAGAUGGACCUGCGUUGUAUUAGCUAGUAGGUGGGGUAACGGCUCACCUAGGCGACGAUACAUAGCCGACCUGAGAGGGUGAUCGGCCACACUGGGACUGAGACACGGCCCAGACUCCUACGGGAGGCAGCAGUAGGGAAUCUUCGGCAAUGGACGAAAGUCUGACCGAGCAACGCCGCGUGAGUGAAGAAGGUUUUCGGAUCGUAAAGCUCUGUUGUAAGAGAAGAACGGGUGUGAGAGUGGAAAGUUCACACUGUGACGGUAUCUGACCAGAAAGGGACGGCUAACUACGU